RNAcentral lists this unclassified non-coding RNA (407 nucleotides) under Bombus terrestris (buff-tailed bumblebee). RNAcentral describes it as "misc RNA ENSBTSG00005022277.1". The record is from RNAcentral. Lineage: Eukaryota; Metazoa; Arthropoda; Insecta; Hymenoptera; Apidae.
CAAUCCAUGUUUUAAAAAUACCAAAGUGGCGCUUAUGCGCAUAAUUUCAAGCCACGCAGAGAAUGAACUGGAUAUUUAUGAGCGUAUUCAAAAAGGAAUGCAACAGAGUCUGGCUUGAACCUUCGCCAUUUAUCGAGGCAUUUAUUGAACCGUUAAUGAUGGUUUAUGGGGUGCGUUUCACGGUAAAGAAGAAAUUUCUGUUUCAUUUGCCUCUGCCGAUUGUUCAGUUAACAUACAGAUAUGUAUUGCUACUUACGUGACUGAGCAUAUAAGAACCAGCUUUCAAGAGGGAAAGAUAGAUAUUAGAUUUAAAUAAAGUCCUUAGCAACUUAGACAAACGAUCAUCUUAAUAAUAGGACUGACAUAUACAUACUUAUGUAUGUAUAUAUAUACAAGACCGCGAAGAA